Molecule: long non-coding RNA, 980 nt
Organism: Lolium perenne
Lineage: Eukaryota; Viridiplantae; Streptophyta; Magnoliopsida; Poales; Poaceae
Source: RefSeq, a predicted model, not a curated record
GACUAGUGUUAAUAUUAUCAUUCUGAAAGUGCCAAAAGGGCAAUAUGCACUUUAACCAUCCUCAUGUUUUCCGAUAGAGGAGCACCUGUGAGGCUGUUAUCGAUCAACUGAGCCACCGCGCCCCACGCCCACUGCGCCGCCGCCUCGCUUGAUUCGCCCCGGACCCCUCUGCGCCGUCGCUGCUUCGCCUCACCCCGCUGUCUCGGUCGAUUCCGCGGCCCCAGGGCCCACUGCACCGCCGCCGCAUCUAGGCCUUUUUGGCUGCCUCGCGGCGCCACCUGCUCCGCCGCCGCAUUUGGGCCUUGUUGGCUACGUCGCGCCGCUUCCUGGGACGUCCUUGUUGGAAGUCCCAUCUUCCUCGGCCGGUUCUGCCCUUGUUGGCCGUCUGGCGGUGCCGCCUCACGCGUCCUGGUCGAAGGGCUCUUCUUCUCCUUUUUUUUUUGCGAAUAUAGGGCCCUUCUUCUCCAACGUGCGGCUGACCCGUCCGUUAUCUUCACCUUCGUCCCGAUCGCCUGUGCAUUCUUCAUUGCUGUGGCGAUGUGACCUGGUUUGGAUGAUGGAUGAUAUUGGUGAAACAGAGGUGAGAGAAGAAUAUAUUACGAUGGUCAGUCAAAUAUUUGAUAGCGAAGAACAAGGUUACGAGCACUACAACAAAUAUGUGAAAGAGAAAGGGUUCGAUGUCAGAUUGGACUAGAAGAGUAUGUGGCUGGGACCAAAGAAGUAAAAAAAAGACGGUUUGUCUGUUCCAAAGAAGGUUACCGUUUGCAGAAGUAUUUUGAAGCAACUGAGCAAAAGAGAUAGACAUGAAGUUUGGUUACAGUUUCUGUUUCCUGUAUGUACGGAGACCUGAAGUUUGGUUACAUGUUCUAUUUCCUGUAAGGAUUGCUUUGUUCCGUAGACAAUAUUGCUUGUGUGUUACUGCGGCUAGUUCAAAAAUAUUGAGUGCAAUUGACCUUGUUGCUCUGUUGGUUUUGAUCAUA